GUAUACUCAGUGCUCUAAGAAAUCUUAAUAUGGGGAAAGAACUGUUCCACUGUGUUUAAUCCAAUAUUUCUCUCAUUUAGUCAUCAAAGUUUUUUUGUCACUUAACACCUAUUACGUUCCCAAAAUGAUGGUUUUAGAGUUCAUGCUGGGAGACACUGGGGUAAAUAUUCUCAGGACAUUGUCAGCUGUAAAAUCCUCAUUCUAUUCUACACUUUUCAAUUUUUUUUUUUUUUUUGACAGGCCUGGGCUGGAAAUCUCACCUGUGUCUGGGAUCUAGAAGAAAAGAUUCAGUACCUUUGAAAGGGUCACUAAAACCCAGACGACGGCUUCGGUUGCACAUAUAAAGUGCAGUCAGGUAGUAACUACGGGUGGAUUACUUUAGGAAGUAGGUGUUCCUCCAGCCUCCAUCCAGAGGAUAAUUGAAAUGCAAGUCAAGCUCUUAUCCACAGGCAACACCAAGGGAGGGGAUCCCCCCCGCCACCGCCCCAGUCACACCAUUUCAAUGUCUUACCGGUGGGUAGGAUUAAGAAAGUUAACCUAAGGGAUGCCUGUGUCUUUCAUGGGACCACUUACCCAGCACCGGGAGAGGUGAGUUCACUGCACUGCUCCCCUUUUGCAAUGGUUAUAGUUUGCUCUCUAACAAUUUCAAUAUGGCAUUUCCAAAAAAGUUUGAAAAUACCACUCAACAUAGUCUUAUCACUCUUCUCUUUUAAAACUUUUUUCCUUU
This 727-nucleotide long non-coding RNA is filed under the name Sus scrofa (pig). RNAcentral's name for it is "lncRNA (ENSSSCG00070013071.1)". Lineage: Eukaryota; Metazoa; Chordata; Mammalia; Artiodactyla; Suidae. The record is from RNAcentral.